ACAUUAUAUAAUUAUAACUAACAGAACAGUGAACAACGUUAUCUUUUGGAAGCCACCAUUAUGUCAUCGUGUUGUUCCAAAGCUAAACCAUGUCUCCACCAUGAAACCCCUGUGAACAAACCUCACCUUCAACCCCAUGACCAACCUUUCCAUUAUCCCACCACCCCUUAUAACCACAACUGCAAUGAUGCUAUGACACACCCAAAUAAGUUACUGUUAAUAAUCGCACUGGGUAGUCGUAUAGAGGAUCGAGGCCAUUUCACAGUUGCUGCAAAGUGCCUCUCUGGUUCUUUGUAGAUCAUGGAUUUCCAACAUGGCGCGGAUUUCUUCGUGUGGUAGGCGUAACUGUAAACGUUCCAAUUUGGAGUUGAUAGUGAUAUUGAUGACCAUAAGGAGGAGGAGAAGAAUAUGGGGGUUCCUCUGUCACUCACUAACUUUGGCUCCGAGGUUUCUUGGUCAGAAGAAGGAAAAUUGAACUCGGAUCCAAAAGACAAGUGCAGGUGAGAUCCCUCAACAAAUCAGAGGAGAGGCUAUGGCAGUUCUUGGGCUUGCUUUCAUCGAUCGAAGGGGAAAUCUGAGAAAAGGGAGGAGGCGAGAUGAAGAAGUCCUGGCCAGUGAAUCUGCAAUGAGCGACUCCGAUGUCUGCGAGCAACCGUAAGCAAGCGAAGUGGGCUUCGGCGAGGGCACGGUGUAGGCUGCAAUGUGAGGAACAACACUGAAUGGGAAAAAACAAUCCAUAUGAAUAUACUCUAAGAAAAGAAACCCCUUCUGGGUUACGUGUCACCUCCUCCUUUUUUCUGGAUUAUUUUAAGUUUUCUUCUUAUUUCAAGUAGCCACUCUUCUUCUUUUAAUUUCCCGCUCUUCUUCUUCUGAAAAUUUUCAAAAAACUUUGAAAUGAAAUAAGGCUGCACAUGUCAGUCACACCAUCAAUUGGAAUUGGAAAUAUUAAAAAAAAAUAAAAAAAUCCCUAUCUCUUCUCAUUUUUCUCUCUCACUUCUUUACUCUUGGUUCCGUCUUCUUCAUCUCUCUUGAAAUUUUCCUAUUUCACUUUUCUUUCUACAUCUUCUGCAUCAGGAAAACGAAAAUCAAGUGUUGCUCUUCAUCUCAGUCUUCUACAACGCAUCAAGCAUCUGAAGGCUUGCUUUUGAAAGAGCCAUGGGAAGUAGAAUUCGGUGCUAAAUCUGAAGAUCGUUGACCCUAAGAUCCACAGAUUUGCGUAAGAGGAAAACAGACCAUGAAAGGAAGAUGGAGAGCAUGUGGAAGAAGACUGUUAGGCAUGAUGAUGAAGAUAAUGGUAUGUUAUGGUAGAACCAUUAAUUUAUGGUUCUUCCCUAAUUGUUGUUUUAGAAAUAACUUAUUUAAAAAGCUGACUUGAGUUUAACAAAAAUACUUCAUAGUUCUUUCAUUAUCGUCAAAUGGUGUAUUUUUAUAUGAUUUUUUUUUUAAAUUUUACAACUAGAAUCUCAUAUAUACAUAGUAUUACUUCAAAAAAUUAUUUGCUAAACUUAGGCUAUGUUUGGA
This is a long non-coding RNA of Lotus japonicus, 1521 nucleotides long. RefSeq lists it as uncharacterized. Lineage: Eukaryota; Viridiplantae; Streptophyta; Magnoliopsida; Fabales; Fabaceae. The transcript has 4 exons. The record is from RefSeq and is a predicted model, not a curated record.